UUUAAAUUACAACAAUUAAUCCACUUCAGAUAAUGUUUUAAGACAACAUAAAUACUUACAGCAUGAAUACUUACAUUUUAAUCACGAUACAGCAGUAGGACAUCUUAAUUAUAACUAUGACAUCUUCUAAUUGCAGCUUAAGACCUUAAUAUUUAAUCAAUUCCAGCAGCAGGUUAUCCUAAUUUCAUUACAAAAGGUCAUAUUC
RNAcentral lists this long non-coding RNA (205 nucleotides) under Gossypium raimondii (Peruvian cotton). RNAcentral describes it as "long non-coding RNA (GRAI_LNC005596)". Lineage: Eukaryota; Viridiplantae; Streptophyta; Magnoliopsida; Malvales; Malvaceae. The record is from RNAcentral.